AAAAAAGCUACAAAGGGCGCACGGCGGAUGCCUUGGCACCAAGAGGCGAUGAAGGACGUGGUUAGCUGCGAAAAGCUUCGGUGAGCUGCUUAGCAAGCUUUGACCCGGAGAUGUCCGAAUGGGGAAACCCCCUCUUAGGAGGAUGCCUAAGUGAAUACAUAGCUUAGGUAGGCGAACGCAGGGAACUGAAACAUCUAAGUACCUGCAGGAAUAGAAAUCAAAUCAGAGAUACCGGUAGUAGCGGCGAGCGAACCCGGUUCAGCCUAAACCGUAAGGAAUUUCUUUACGGGGUCGUGGGGCUGCUCACCACGGAGUGGAAAGUUAGACGAACGGUAUGGAAAGGCCGGUCAAAGAGGGUGACAACCCCGUAGUCGAAAACUAGAAACUUCAGAGCAGUACCCGAGUAGGGCGGGACACGUGUUAUCCUGUCUGAAUCUGGGAGGACCAUCUUCCAAGGCUAAAUACUCCUUGGUGACCGAUAGCGUACUAGUACCGUGAGGGAAAGGUGAAAAGAACCCCGUCGAGGGGAGUGAAAUAGAACUGAAACCGUGUGCCUACAAGCAGUUGGAGCAUCCUCGUGAUGUGACAGCGUGCCUUUUGCAUAAUGAGCUAGCGAGUUUGUCUUACGAGCAAGGUUAAGUUGCGCAGCAACGAAGCCGUAGUGAGAGCGAGCCUGAAUAGGGCGUUAAGUUCGUAGGAUAAGACCCGAAACCCGGUGAUCUAUCCAUGGCCAGGUUGAAGCUGAGGUAACACUUAGUGGAGGACCGAACCCGUUGACGUUGAAAAGUCUUGGGAUGAGCUGUGGAUCGGAGUGAAAGGCUAAUCAAACUGGGUGAUAGCUGGUUCUCGUCGAAAUAUAUUUAGGUAUAGCCUCAUGCGUUUCUUAACGGGGGUAGAGCACUGAUUGGGCUAGGGGUCCUACCAGAUUACCAAACCCACUCAAACUCCGAAUACCGUUACAGUUAUAAAAUGGGAGUCAGACUGCGGGAGAUAAGUUCCGUAGUCAAGAGGGAAAGAGCCCAGACCAUCAGCUAAGGUCCCCAAGACAACACUAAGUGGAAAACGAUGUGGAGAUGCACAGACAGCCAGGAGGUUGGCUUAGAAGCAGCCAUCCUUUAAAGAAAGCGUAACAGCUCACUGGUCAAGUGUUUUUGCGCGGAAGAUUUAACGGGGCUUAAGUGUUGCACCGAAGCUAUGGGCUCAGACGUAAGUCUGAGCGGUAGACGAGUAUUGUCGCAACCGUUGAAGGCGUCUGGUGAUGGACGUUGGAGGAACGACAAGAGCUUAUGCUAGCAUUAGUAGCGAUAAAGCAUGUGAAAAACAUGCUCGCCGAAAACCUAAGGUUUCCUGGGAAAGGGUUUUCCACCCAGGGUAAGUCGGCACCUAAGGCGAGGCCGAAAGGCGUAGUCGAUGGACAACAGGUUUAUAUUCCUGUACCAAACAGUGGAGUGAUGCAGGGGUGAAGAAAGAUAGCCAUGCUGGAUAUUGGAUAUUCCAGUCUAAGCGUGUAGGGAGUCAAAUUUGGCAAAUCCGGUUUGACAAUCCUGAGACGUGAUGGGGAGGGCCUCGGCCCAGAAGAUGGUGACUCUCUGCUUACAAGAAAAGCUGCUAAGCGUUGAAGCUGUUUGACCGUACCCGAAACCGACACAGGUAGGUAAGAAGAGUAUUCUAAGGCGUAUGAGUGAAACAUGGUUAAGGAACUCGGCAAAAUGACACCGUAACUUCGGGAUAAGGUGUGCCAGGCUGGUGAAAACCCUCGCGGUUGGAGCUGGUUCUGGUUGCAGAGAAGAGAGGGUAGCGACUGUUUACCAAAAACAUAGCACUACGCAAAGUCGCAAGACGACGUAUGUGGUGUGACGCCUGCCCAGUGCUGGAAGGUUAAAGGGAGGAGUCAGCGUAAGCGAAGCUUCGAACUGAAGCCCCAGUAAACGGCGGCCGUAACUAUAACGGUCCUAAGGUAGCGAAAUUCCUUGUCGGGUAAGUUCCGACCUGCACGAAUGGCGUAACGACUUCCCUGCUGUCUCAACCAUGUGCUCAGCGAAUUUGAAAACCGCGUGCAGAUGCGCGGUACCCGCAGCAAGACGGAAAGACCCCGUGAACCUUUACUAUAGCUUGACACUGUUAUUUUGAACAUUUUGUGUAGCAUAGGUGGGAGACGUUGAUAUAGCGCCGCUAGGUGCUAUGGAGUCGUCAGUGAAAUACCACCCUGAAUGUUUGAGAUAUCUAACCUAGCUCCGUGAUCCGGAGCAGGGACCGUGUCUGGUGGGUAGUUUGACUGGGGCGGUCGCCUCCUAAAGUGUAACGGAGGCGCGCAAAGGUUCCCUCAGGCCGGAUGGAAAUCGGUCGUAGAGUGCAAAGGCAUAAGGGAGCUUAACUGCGAGACCGACAGGUCAAGCAGAUACGAAAGUAGGCCUUAGUGACCCGGUGGCUCCGAAUGGAAGGGCCAUCGCUCAACGGAUAAAAGGUACUCCGGGGAUAACAGGCUGAUCUCCUCCAAGAGUUCACAUCGACGAGGAGGUUUGGCACCUCGAUGUCGGCUCAUCACAUCCUGGGGCUGAAGCAGGUCCCAAGGGUUUGGCUGUUCGCCAAUUAAAGUGGUACGCGAGCUGGGUUCAGAACGUCGUGAGACAGUUCGGUCCCUAUCUGCUGUGGGCGCAAGAAAUUUGACGGGAUCUGUCCUUAGUACGAGAGGACCGGGAUGGACAUACCGCUGGUGUACCAGUUGUUUCGCCAGAAGCACCGCUGGGUAGCUACGUAUGGAACGGAUAACCGCUGAAAGCAUCUAAGUGGGAAGCCGACCCAAAGAUAAGAUUUCUCUGGCUUUACGCCCUAAAGACCCGUUCGAGACGAGGACGUUGAUAGGCGCGAGGUGGAAGUGCAGUAAUGCAUGGAGCUGACGCGUACUAAUCGGUCGUGAGGCUUUUUUCG
RNAcentral lists this ribosomal RNA (2928 nucleotides) under Zetaproteobacteria bacterium. RNAcentral's name for it is "23S ribosomal RNA". It matches the Rfam family "Bacterial large subunit ribosomal RNA". The record is from RNAcentral. Lineage: Bacteria; Pseudomonadati; Pseudomonadota; Candidatius Mariprofundia.